UUUUUUAUUUGCCCUAAGAAUUUCUUCGCCACCCCCUCUCUCGCUUCUCUCGCCUGAUUCCCCUCUGCCGCACCCCCUUUUGAAGCCGCGAUUCGACACCGCCUUUGCCGGAGCAACCGGAGCCAGCCGGUGCUUCCUCCUACGUACCCGACAGUGACACCUAGAAAAAUGAGGAAGAUGUCAUCCCGAAUGUGGUAGGGGACACGAAGGCAGUGUAGUUGAGGAGAUGAAGUUGAAUGCAUCACACACUGUCUAGAGGCUCUAGGUGUUAGUUAUUAGUCCUUUUUCCUUUGAUUUGUUCUGUCAGUAUGAGAUGGAGACUACUGGUUAGCUUGCAUUGGUAGGAGGUCACAAAUGUUUCUUGGAGGAUAUGUUUUCUUAGUGCAUUUGUAAUUUUGGACAAAUAUAUGAUGCAAAGUUGUUUCCUUUCA
Zingiber officinale is the source of this 431-nucleotide long non-coding RNA. RefSeq lists it as uncharacterized. NCBI's taxonomy places the organism in Eukaryota, Viridiplantae, Streptophyta, Magnoliopsida, Zingiberales, Zingiberaceae. The record is from RefSeq and is a predicted model, not a curated record. The transcript has 2 exons.